GCUUAACACAUGCAAGUCGAGGGGCAGCAUGAACUUAGCUUGCUAAGUUCGAUGGCGACCGGCGCACGGGUGAGUAACACGUAUCCAACCUUCCCGUUACUCUGGGAUAGCCUUUCGAAAGAAAGAUUAAUACCGGAUAGUAUCGAGAGAUUGCAUGAUAACCCGAUUAAAGAUUCAUCGGUAACGGAUGGGGAUGCGUUCCAUUAGAUAGUAGGCGGGGUAACGGCCCACCAUGCCCACGAUGUCUAGGGGUUCUGAGAGGAAGGUCCCCCACACUGGAACUGAGACACGGUCCAGACUCCUACGGGAGGCAGCAGUGAGGAAUAUUGGUCAAUGGUCGGAAGACUGAACCAGCCAAGUAGCGUGAAGGAUGAAGGUUCUAUGGAUUGUAAACUUCUUUUAUACGGGAAUAAAACCACCUACGUGUAGGUGCUUGUAUGUACCGUAUGAAUAAGCAUCGGCUAACUCCGUGCCAGCAGCCGCGGUAAUACGGAGGAUGCGAGCGUUAUCCGGAUUUAUUGGGUUUAAAGGGAGCGUAGACGGGAGAUUAAGUCAGUUGUGAAAGGCUGCGGCUCAACCGCAGCACUGCAGUUGAUACUGGUUUCCUUGAGUGCGGUUGAGGUAUGUGGAAUUCGUGGUGUAGCGGUGAAAUGCUUAGAUAUCACGAA
This 668-nucleotide ribosomal RNA is filed under the name uncultured Bacteroidota bacterium. Its description in RNAcentral is "bacterial SSU rRNA". It matches the Rfam family "Bacterial small subunit ribosomal RNA", at positions 46 to 703 of the family's 1533-position model. The record is from RNAcentral. Lineage: Bacteria; Pseudomonadati; Bacteroidota.